Molecule: long non-coding RNA, 9805 nt
Filed under: Lotus japonicus
Lineage: Eukaryota; Viridiplantae; Streptophyta; Magnoliopsida; Fabales; Fabaceae
Description: long non-coding RNA (LJAP_LNC000178)
Source: RNAcentral
UGGAUUUGCAGCGUGCUGGGCGGUAGGUUGAGGAGGUGUAGUUGGUAUCACAGUCGACCCACAAGAAAUUGCCUCCGAGAUCGACGACAAGUUUUACUGGAACUUGUGGGGUUCUUUGGUUGAUUUUAGUGAGGUAUUGGAGUGUGGAGGCAUCUUUUGUGACUGGCACAACAAGGGCUUUGGGCCUGAAAGAUGUUUUGGCCUGAGUAAGUAAUCCAGUAGUAGAGAAUAGGAAGAAGAGGGUAAAGAUGAAUAGAUUUUGAUAAUUGGAAUAUUUGUUAGCCAUGCCCAUGGCUGUGUGUGUGACUGUAUAUGGAAAUUAAUCUGAAGUUGGAAAUGAUAGUGAAGUGGCAGAGAGACCUAUAUUUAUAGGUGGAAUUAGAGUGCCAGUGUUGUUUGUUUAUUUGUAGGAAAAUGAAGUGGAGCGGUACCGCAAAGACAACUCACAUGUGAACCUCGUCAAGUAGCUCGAUGCAUGUUACUGGAUGUUGCUGGGAGUUGGGUUUAGCACCCCACCUAUUGGGCUUGGCACCCCACUUUAUCAAAUACGGAAUUUAAAGUUCCGUAUUCUUCAUAUUGAAUACGGAACGACGGUGAUAUUAAAAUAGAUACGGAAUUUUAUUUUCCGUAUUGAUACGAAACUUUAAAUUCCGUAUUUAAUAAAGUGGGGUGCAAAGCCUAAGGGGUGGGGCUCCAAACCCAAUUCCCGAUGUUGCUUCCUAGUUCUAUUAUUUAAUUGGUCAUGAUGACAUUAGUUUCUUGUUUUUGACUUAACAUUUACCUGUCAGCCGCGUCGUGCUUUUAUGUAGUAAACUUGAACUCCUAAUAAUAACGGGUUAUAUGACUCAUCAAAAAACUAUAGGUUAUAUAAUUUAUGGUGUGAACCAAUCACAUUUAAGAUAAGUAAAAUCUAAUAUUUAUAUAUUUUUUAUUAAUUUAUUUAUAAAUAAUCUUAUAAAUAUGGAGGGCUAACAACUCCCCAUAAUGUAAGAGAAUAAAAAACCACGAACACGAACCCAUAUGUUAUUCAGCUCUUACCACUUAAAAAAGCUAUCAUUCGAGACAUUUAAGUGAAUUUUGAAAAGAGAGUGUUAAUAACAUUUUUCUAUAUAUAUAAAAAAAAUACCAAGAAAAAUAAUAAGAUAAUGCUUCACAGCGGUUUAAGGAAAAUAUAUAUGUAUGAUGUGUUGGAAAAACUCAGACAAAGGAGAUUCUAAAGGUAAAAGCAAUCUUACUAUAUCUUCUUGAACAGCUUGAUCUAGCUGUCCUCUAUGAUUAAAAAUUUUCCUUUUCGAGCUUUGGAUUUAAACAACUUUGGUUUCAAAAGCAGUUCCUUUCCAUUGGCGUUUAUAAACUUGAUAUUCAUCAGCCUUCUUAUUUAUUCAUGUGAUUUCAUCCAUAAUAGUUCUUUCUAAUUGACUCUGCAGGUACAACCAAUCUAAAAGAGAUCCCUGGUGUUAUUGUUCUGUAUAUCACAAAGGAAAUAAUGAAAUCACGUGGUCAAAUUAUAAGGGUUAAUUGGACUAAUCUUACUGGAGAAUUUCCAACCAUACUAUAGAAUAAUACAUAAGACUAAAAUCAAUAUCAAGAUCCCAUGAGGAGGCACAUAUUAAAAUUGAAGUCUGAAUCUACUUGAAAAAAUAUACCAAAUUAAUAAACUUAAACUCUUAUUAAAGAAUCAUUCAAUUGAUGGGGCAGUCAGUCCCUGCCUCAUACUCAUUAAUAUUAAUUUGAAGCAUAACAAAGAGAUACUACAAGUUCAAUUAAUGAACAACUUGGGUGGUAAAACUGUGUCAAUAGCCCUAAUCAAAUGAUUUCUCGUGGGAACAGAACAGAAGAGAAAAAAAGUUAAAAUGAAAACUAAGGACAAUAGCCUUCUAUUUCACCACCAGAGUCCUAAGCAAAUGAUUUUCUAGUUUUAAAUGGAGAACCCCAUGAGUACCCAAGUCUUUUAGAGUACUAAUAAAGAAGUACCACAUUUGAAUAUUUGAUGCAUGACAACUAUAGAAUCACUUAAAGCUAUUAAAAACACAGACAUUGGAACUGACUUAUUUCUUUGGUCUUUUAGAGAAAUAUGUCUAAAUUAAAGAUCAAUUCUUUGCAAGCAAGAGAGCAUGAUUGGUUAUCAACUUUGCAAUGCAGUCUGAUUGACAGAAAAAAGUUCAAAACUUUUGCCAUCCCUUUUAAACAACUUUAUGAUGAAAAUAAUGUUUUUUUGAAAGCAGAAUUUGACAUUGAUGAAAUCAAAGCGGCUGUAUGGGAGUGUGAAGGUAAUAAAAGUCCGGGACCGGACGGAUAUAAUUUUAGUUUCAUCAAGGAAUUUUAGGAGGUUCUGAAGGAGGAUGUGAAGCGAAUGCUAGACGAUUUUAACCUACAUGAGAAAUGGCCUAGAGGAACUAAUAGAUCUUUUAUCACACUAAUUCCUAAAUGUGACUCUCCCCAAGGCUGAGUGACUUUAGGCCUAUUUCUUUGAUCGGUUGUGCCUAUAAGAUUGUAUCUAAAAUUCUUGUUGCUAGAAUGAAACAUGUGUUGCCUAAGGUGAUUGAUGAAAAUCAAUUUGCCUUUCUUGGUGGUAGGGGGAUGCUGGAUAGUGUGGUAAUUGCUAGUGAGGUGAUUCAUGAAGCAAAGAGUUCUAAUCUUCCUUCCAUUGUUUUUAAGGUAGAUUUUGAAAAAGCAUAUGACUCCAUUAGGUGGAAAUUCUUGUUCUAUAUGCUGAGAAGACUUAACUUGGGGGAAAAAUGAGUGAGAUGGAUUAUUGGCUGCCUGGAAUCAACUCAUGUAUCUGUACUUGUUAAUGGGAGUCCUACCAGUGAAUUUAGAAUGGAGAAGGGUAUCCGGAAAGGGGACCCCCUUGCUCCCUUUUUGUUCCUUGUUGUUGCAGAGGGUUUGAAUGGACUCCUUAAACAGGCUGUGGCAACUAAUAAUUUUCGACCGUUCAAGGUUGGGAAAGAUACAAGUGUUGAUGUGGCGCUUCUCCAGUUUGCUGAUGAUGCCCUUUUUGUUGGUGAGGCCUCAAUACAUAAUUUAUUAACUCUGAAGUGUAUUAUGCGCUGCUUUGAGUUGGUAUCUGCCAUGAAAGUGAACUUCCAUAAGAGUAAACUUGCAUGUAUCUCUAUUCCAACUUCAGUAACAAAUCGCUUUGCUGCACUUCUGAAUUGUAGAGUGAUGGAGGUUCCAUUUAUUUAUCUUGUUCUUCCCGUGGGAGCAAAUCCAAGAAGGCUAUCUACUUGGGAUCCAGUGGUGAGCAAGAUCAAAGGUAGGCUUUCUAGAUGGAAGAGUAAGACUAUUUCUUUGGGAGGGAGAAUCUGUCUUGUAAAUAGUGUGUUAUCUGCACUCCCCUUAUAUUAUAUCUCCUUCUUUAAAAUGCCCAAAGGGGUAAUUAAGAAGUGUCAACAAUUAAUGUUGAGAUUUCUUUGGGGUGGGUCUGAGGAGGAUAAGAAAAUUGUGUGGGUUGGAUGGGAUCGAAUUUGCAAACCAAAAUCUGAAGGAGGCCUUAGGGUGAGAGAUUUGGGGAGCUUUAACACUUCCCUCUUGGGAAAAUGGAGAUGGCGUCUCCUCCAUGAGAAGGAGAGGUUGAGGUGUCGGGUCCUUUUGGCGAAAUAUGGCGAUAACCUAUCUAAAAAGGGGGGUUCCGUUUGGGGGAAGGACCUUCUUUUGUCAUCUGUAGGGGCUGAAGCUGGUUUUUGGUUUGAGAAUGGGUUGUGCAGAAGGCUUGGGGAUGGGAAUGAUACAUUCUUUUGGUUUGAGGACUCGCAUGGGAAGGGUAAAUUCAUGGAAACAUUUCCAGGACUGUACCAUAUUUCAGAACAGAAAAAUAAAAAACUUGCGGAAAUGGGAUUCUGGACAGAUGCUAAGUGGACUUGGGAUCUUCACUGGUCUACUCUGGUGGAAGGGGAUAAUGUGCAGCAGCUUGGUUUCUUAGCACAAAUAAUUUCCUCUUUCACACUGUUAAGGGGUAAAAAAGAUUCAUGGGUUUGGAUCAAGGAAGGUGAUGGGCGAUUCUCAGUCAAAUCUGCUUAUGAGACUAUUGCGGGGUCUAAUCCGGAGAUGGAUAGUUAUAUAUUUCAAUCGCUGUGGAGAGCUUGGGCACCUUCUAACGCUGCUGCAUUGGGUUGGAGAGUCCUUAUUAAUCGCAUUCAGACAAAAGAAAACCUAAUUCGUCGUAAUAUCCCAAUUACGAACUCUUCUUGUCCAUGGUGUGGUUUGGUUGAAGAGACCACCUUCCAUUUGUUGUUUCAAUGUUCAUUUGCCUGGAAAGUUUGGUCCCUGGUCAUGAAGUGGAUUGGGAUUUGCUUGGUGCUGCCUGGAGAUACCUUGUGUCACUUUAAUCAAUUUGUAUCUUGCUGGACCCUGGCUAAAAAGAAGGGCAUGGCUGAGGUGGUGUGGCAUUUGAGGAUUGGGAGAAAUGCAGUGGUUUUUAGGGGAGAAAACUUGGAGGCUGAGAAUAUUUUUGAAGCUGCAAAAUCAAAAGCAUGGAAUUGGCUAAGAGCUCGUAGCAGGAACUUUCAUCAUUCUAUUUUUGAGUGGUUUAAUGAACCACUGGUUUGCUUGUGUGAUAUCUGAUGAGAUUUGUGUUGAAGUGCUAAAUUGUUAGGCUGGCUCAUUUCUAUUCUGUUUUGUCAAAGGGGAGGAAGGCUCAUAAAAUACAGCCUGCUUGUGUGUCCUUUUUUUCAAAUCAGUAAUGCAAUACAAUUGAAUUCUGCAUGUUGAAGUUCAUUUAAAGGGCAUUGCUAGGUGGAACAUCAAUUCUGAUGGAGCUUGCAGGUGGAGGUCAUUUCAUUUUGGAAAAUUGGCUCUCUAUGGCAAUAUAGAAUGGUAAUAUAGAUUGGCUGCUGUGUAGAUUGGUUCUUGGGCUUGGUGGUUUUCUGAGUUUGGGGUUAAUUUGAUUCUUUGUAAUUAUCCUUGGAAAAUUCCUCUUGGCUUUAUAAAUUGGUAUUCUUUUUCCUUUCUAAGUUUUCCCAAGGGAGUUUUCUCCUAUUAAGGUUUUAAUGAGGCCUUUUCUAUAUUGUCUUUUUCUAAGGGGGUAUUGGGUAGGUUAGUUUUGGCAGUAGUAGGUUUGCUUUGUAUUGACUUCUUUUCAAUCUUUUUUCCUCCAUCAUCUCUUACUUGUAUUGUGAUUGAAGUACCCCUUGUACUUCUUUUCAAUAUAAUUCAUAUUGCUUAUAAAAAAAACAACUUUUGCUGACAUUCUAGAAUAUUCUCUUGUUUGUGAAGCACAUUUAGAUUUCUGCCACUUCACUGACUACCCUUAGUUUAAGGGAUCUAGCCAACUAGAAUAAAUUCUAACAGAUCAUGAUGAAGAAAUUCAGAGAAAAUUGAGUUGGUGCCUGGGGGGUGUGAAGACAGGAGCCUCACAUUUAAACUCAAAUUAGUCCCUUGCAAAGUCUCACCAGGACUUGAUGAGACAUGUGCAUGAUCUUGUUGUGGUUAACACUGUUAAAAGUUCAAUAGGGAUUUGUGGUGCUUGGGUUUUGUGGACGGUGGAAUCGACAAGAAAACGACGAUCACAAUUGGAGGGAAGCAGCUUGAAGAUAAUGUAGUUGUUUGGAGUCACAAUUUCCCUCUUAUCUCACUCGCUCUCUUGUCCUGAUGUCCAUGCCCACUGUUUUCCUCCUCGUCACAAGAAAUAGAAUCAGGAAUGAGAAACUGAAAAAUCAAUGACACCCGCUGAGGUGUGAGAACUGUACAUGUGUAAUUAGUUCACUCUUAGAAAAAAAUAUCGUUUGGUUUUAAGAAUUCCAUCAAUUCUAUAGAGCAGUUGAAGUAGUAUAUGAUUGAUCUCUCUUUUCUUUUUCAGAAUGUGGACAUUCCAAAUGUGAAAUCUAAUUGAUGUUUUUGUAAAAUUUAUAUAUGCUGUCAUCGUAUAGUUAAAAAGUAUUAAUUUAUAUAUAUCAUGAUAAGAUUGAGACUUGAGAGCAGAAUUCUGGUAUCCAAAACCAAUUUCCACUACAGAGCAACAACGAGCAUACAAUGACGAUGCUUCAGGAGCCUCCCGAACCAGAUGGCGAACCAAUAUGAGACACAAGAGAGGGGACCCAGCUCGCAAAUGCCAAAUUCUGAGAGCUUCAGGACAACCUCUGAAAAUAUGAUCAAUGUCUUCUUGGUCAGAAUUACAGCGAGUGCAAGAAGCACUCAAUGCCAAGUGACAAUGAUGUCUCAUUGCAUUCAUAGGAAAGCUUCCAGUACCAAGUAACAAAAGAAAAAAUCUAAUCUUCUCCAGAACCUUACAUUUCCAAAUCAUCUGCCAACUGCCUAAAUUAUAUCGACCAGGCCAAGAAAUGAUAAGCUGAGGAUGUCGUGUAUUAUGGGAUGGUUGCCAGCAAAUAACAUCACGUUACAAAGUACUCAUAGGUAGCUGAAGCAUUGUUAUUUCAGGGAAAAUAUCUUGAGGCAGAAUGGUACAACAAAACAUGUUAUUUUCCUUCCUGAUUUCCCUUCGUUUGAUCCUUCCUCUACUUUUCGUUUUGGCUUGUCUCGGAAUCUUGGCGUCGAUCUUCGUUUCUCCUUCUUUGUAGCAGCGGUCAUCUGCGCCAUCCUCUUUCCAUGUCCACCAUAUUUCAACCUUCUUUCGGGUCGGUGCUCUAAGAUUUGAGGUUGUUUCACCGUUGAAGUGAGUUGUGGCAGGGAGUGAGAUGCUGGGAUUUGACCAGGCCUCCUCGCCAACAAGUCUCGCCACUUGGGAUUCAGGGCCAAGCAAGUUUUGUGGUAAACCAUGUUCGUGCUCGAAGGGGUGGAAGGAAGAGGUCAGUUCCCUGAGGUAAUGGUUAUGGUUUACAAACCAAGGAGUUACACAAUUGAAAUUUCAGCGUGGCUUGAAGGGGGGUCUCAAGGCUUAUGAGAUCAUUUUGCAGGAUGCACACGGCUAUAAGAAAUGAUCUAAGGACCAAUUGGUUGUGCAAUCCAAUUCUUAAGCAUAAGGAGUUGACCGAGAAGACUUCUUCUUGGAAACUAAGCAAGGGUUUGGUAAGAAAAGGACAUAGCACGUCCAUCCCGCAGGGCAACCUGGAAGAAACACAAUGUUGUUCGUCUUUGUAGCUACUGUUGAUUAUACUUUUGCUAUCGUGUGGGGCUUCUUUUCUCGAGUUGGUUUGGUGUUAGGUGGGUUUUGGAGUUUUCGAGCUUUUGCUCUAAGGUGUUUGGUAGGGGUGGUUUUCGGGUACGCUGGUUGUGGUUGGGCUCGUGUCGGUGGAAGCUGGUGGGGUGUGGGGUGGUGUGGUGUGGCCGGUUGGAUCUUGUGUAGUUGUUGGUUGUCGGUCCUAGUUAUGUGUAGUUCAUUGUUUUUACGAUCACCCUCCGGCUUCGACGUCUUGGUUUCUAUACGGUUUUGGAUGGGUGAUCGUCUGUUGUGCUGCUGCUACGGGUCUGGAGGCUAUUUUUGGAGCCUAUGCAAGCAUUGUUAUCUUUUAUGUUUGUUUCUUAUCUUGGUUUUUAGGUAUCAUCUCUAUAGCGUUUUUUGGUUUUACCUGUUGGGGUUUUUGGUCUGCUCUUUUAGUUUGAUCUAUAUUGCAGGUAUCGAGCGACUUGUUUUCCUUCAUUUGUAUUUGUCGCUGCUUUUCGAAUUUCAUGGAGAUCUUUCUAGAGGAGCAAUGUGUGGGCGUUUUACUAGGCUUUUAGCAUGCUCUUGUGCGUGUGGGUUUUUUUCAAUUUGAGCUGAGUUUUGAUGACUAGGUUAUUGUACCCUUGUUGACAUGAGUUGUUUCUCAACAUUUCUUUUAUAUUUAUAUAUCUGUUUCUAUAUAAAUGUCCACUUAGAGUUUCAAGAGAGCAUUAAUUGAUGUUUUUCCAAGAAAUAGCCUUACAGAAACAAUAAAUGAAGAAAGACAAAAUACAUUCUAAAUGGUGAUGAAAUAGGAAAACAAAUAAUACCUUUACGAAAAUUAACACAAUUGAUUGCUUUCCUUAAUUUUUGUGAACCUUCUCUUCCUGAACAGAUACAUAGAAACUGGGGUAGUAGCAAUUAAUGUUCUUGUUUUAUUAAAAUUACUAUCUGACUUCCUAUAAUGCCCUUUAUCUCUCUUAUUAUUUCUAAUAUCUCAAUUUUCCUCCCACCAAUAAAUGAAGGGUACAGUUGAUAAAAUAUAAUUAAUGCUCUUUUGAAAUUAUAAAAGUAUCAGAUAAAUAGAAACAAAAAAGAAAUCAAAAUAGUAUCAGUUGAUAGUGUGUUUUUUUACUUUAAAAAAAUAAGAAUAUCAAUAAUAAUAACGGGUUGGCUAAAUGACUAGUGAAAAUUAGUUAACCACACCUUAAUGGACGAAUAAACUUAAUAAAAUACGUCUAACAUUAAAAUUGGCUAACACACCGAAAAUCUAGCUAUGUUUAGGACAAAUUAUUCAAAAUUACAUUAAUUGUCAAGCCUCCAGACAUGAAUUUAAUUACAAUUUAUCAUCACUGAGAAUCAAAUCACACUAAUUAAUUAAUCAAAGUGCAUACAUGAAUUUAAUACCCAUUUAUUAUUUAUUAUUAACGAAAAUAAAAUCAAUGGUAGUAUUACAACACAAAUUAAUUAUUCAAAGUGCAUCCAUAAAUGGAUAGUAGAUUAACCACGCCAAGCAAUCUUGGCAAAGGCACGAUUAUGCGGUGGAGGUGAAGUUGAAGUUGGCACACGUGGUUUGCCUUCCGUAGAGCAAAGAACUGAACCCCAAUCUGGACGAAGCCAAAUCAAACUGCACCAGAUUAUUCUCCAGCUGAUACCCACCAAUCACAAUCGAAGUCCUCGCAUUCUUCCCACCGUUCACAAACCCAAGACACAAAACACUACCAUCAUUAUGCACAUCUACCACCGAGUUCGCUCCAAAAACAUACCACGUCACACCAUUCUGCAUCACAAACUCCACCGUAGGCACCGCCGCACCCAACCGCGUACUCCCCACGCCCCUACCGCUGACGCAAUCGCCUUGAAAAGAGAGUCCUCGAGAACCGUGUAAGGGUCCACCGUGCUUACCUUGGUCCCACCAAGGCCGUUACUAUUGAUGUCUAACAAACUCGAGUUAACGGUAACCGGUUUUUCGUCAAUCACUAUUGAUUUCACGCCGAUGAAAUACUCGGCGGAGGGCUCGCCUUGUGAGAACGCGGAGGAGGUGCUCACCGGGUUGGAGGCGUCGACGUUGGGGAGGAGAACGUAAGGUCCGUCUCCGAAGAUAACAACGCCGGUUGAAGAAGAUAAGCAGAUCGCGAAUUUCCGGUGGAAGCUGAAUGCGGAGGAGAAUUGCGACGGCAGCGCGAUUUUCGUCCGGCCGAGGCCGGCCAUGCCAGAAACACCUUUUUUGAGUCCUUUUAGUAAAGCGAUUCGGCCGGGUGUGAGGCCGUUGGUGGACUGGAUUGAGAGAGUGUCUUGGGCGAGCUCGCCGCUGGUAGCGGUUCCGGUGAUGGUGUCGUCCGGGAUGAGGCCACAAGUGUUGUUGUGGCAGCCGGGCUUGGGGGAUGAAAAGCAAUCGCCGCAGCUGCUGGAUCCGGCCAGGGAGCACUGGGCGGAUUUGCAGCGUGCUGGGCGGUAGGUUGAGGAGGUGUAGUUGGUUUCACAGUCGACCCACAAGAAGUUGCCGCCGAGAUCGACGACAAGUUUUACUGGGACUUGGGGUGUUCUUUGGUUGAUUUGGGUGAGGUAUUGGAGAGUGGAGGCAUCUUUUGUGACUGGGAUAACAAGGGCUUUGGGCCUGAAAGAUGUUUGGGCCAGAGAAGGUGCAGUGAUAGAGAAUAGGAGGAGGAGAGUGAUGAAGAGAUUUUGAUAAAUUGAGCUAUUAGCCAUGGUUGUGAGGUAGGUAGAUUGUGAUAUGGAAAUGAGAAAUGGAGGCAUUAUGCAUCUCUA